This is a long non-coding RNA of Sus scrofa (pig), 1459 nucleotides long. RefSeq lists it as uncharacterized. The record is from RefSeq and is a predicted model, not a curated record. Lineage: Eukaryota; Metazoa; Chordata; Mammalia; Artiodactyla; Suidae.
GCCAGCUUCCUAGUGAUUGGUUAGAUCGGGGGAAGGGGCGGGGAAAGAUUGAGAGGUGAGGUGAUUGGUAGAACGCUGAGCGGUUGAUGGACUCGCGCUCGCAGAGCCCUUAAAAGGCGCGAGGCGCAGGUCGCUUGGCGGUUGCUCGCUGCGGUUGUUACCUUGCGUGAAGUUUUUUUCUUUUUAGCCCUUUGCUAUAUUGGUGUCAGUCUAAGUUUGAGGGUGUAGGUUGUGACUUAGUAUCAUCUAUGGAUGAAGGCCUGUGGGAAGACUGGAACGCAGUAAUUCAAAAUACGCAUUUUUAAAAAAAAGUGUGCGCCACCUCAGUUGUCUCAACCCUGGGAUAAGCAGAUCCGACACACCUGACGGGGAAAAAUAGCGCAAGUCAACACAUCUUUAACUCUCCACACCUUCGUGGCUAAUUCAGUAGUCGAGCUCAAACACCUGCCCUUAGCUGGGAACUCUCUAGAAACGUCCUUCCAGAGGGGAUUUAAGACGGCUGAGUUCACAGGCUGGUCUCUCUGGUAAAGGGAGACUGGUGUAUUUUCCACAAAUGGUUUACUGGCAACCCCUUUCUUCAGUUGUGUUGGCGAAGGGCCCUUGACGUGGCACCAAUGUUGGGGUGCAGGAAGGGACGGCAGCCUGGGAGGCGUGGGUCAUGCAGAAAGAAGGUGAGCCAGACCUGAGAAACGAGGAUGCCGUGGGCGCUUUCCAGACGCGGAGACCAGUGUCAUGAGAGAAGACCUGAUGGGUUCAGCGAAUUACCAUCUCGUGAGUGAGGAGCUCAUGCUGAAGCCGUAGACUGGGCAGGAAAGGCCAACUUUCCUUUGAUUUUGAUGGAAGAAAGACUAGCUACCUAAGUCUUGAAAUUCAAGCGAGUCAACCAAAACAGAAACAUCAAAGGAGUAUCGAAUGCGUCCCUGAACUCAAAAGGGUUCCCAUCGCAGAACCUCUGAAGCUUGGGAGGGCUCUCACCAUUCAACCGUGAAGGAGGUAGCCCAGAAGAAAAGAAAACCAGCUACAGUAGUUAAGAGGAGAGAGGAGCAGCCAGACAAACCAGUGGAAAGCUUUAGAGGCAGCUCUUGGCUGGAGAAGGAAAGAAAGGCCUCAUCUCCGUGUGCUGUGCAGGGGUCUUCCCUGGACUCGGCAGAGCCAGGCUUGGUUCCUAAGUCCCCUUCGUUGGGUGGACGUCAACAAGAGCAGGGUCAAAGAGGAAGCCUACAGGAUGGGCUGGACAUUGAAAAAAAAAAAAAUGGUGAUGUGCCCAGAUAAACUAUUUCCAGAAGAGGCCAGCUUGAAUUUAUCAUGUGUAAGACAAUUUGGCUAUGAACUUCUUUCCAAGAGAAUUGCAGUUUUUAAGAUUAAUAAAGCAUAAAAUUAGCCAGCUGGAAGUCGUUCAACAAAAUUUCUCCCUUAGUUAUAUACUAAACAGUGAAAAUAAACAGGAGAAUUUGGGGAA